UACGAGAGGGGCGAGCGUUAUCCGGAAUAAUUGGGCGUAAAGGGUUCGUAGGUGGUAUUAUGGAUGCUAUUAAUGAAAUACUAGAGCCUAACUCUAGGACCAUUUUUAGAACACUUUUACUUGAGUUUAACAGAGGAUAGUAGAAUUUCAUGUGGAGGGGUGGAAUCCUUAGAUAUAUGAAGGAAUGCCGAUAGCGAAAGCAACUAUCUGGGUUAAUACUGACGCUGAGGAACGAAAGCGUGGGGAGCAAACAGG
Molecule: ribosomal RNA, 255 nt
Filed under: uncultured bacterium
Lineage: Bacteria
Description: partial 16S ribosomal RNA
Rfam family: Bacterial small subunit ribosomal RNA
Source: RNAcentral